UUUCCGUAGGUGAACCUGCGGAAGGAUCAUUACAGAAUAAACUUGAUGGAUUGUUGCUGGCUCUCUUGGGGGUAUUGUGAACGUUCAUCAUUUUUAUCUUUCCACCUGUGCACCCUUUGUAGUUCUGGAAUAUCAUUAUAGCGAAAGCUUGUCUCAAGUUUUCGCUGUGCUUUGAAGGCUUGCUGUGCUAUUUAUUAAGCCGGCUUUCCUUUACACUUUUCCAGAUCUAUGUUUUUACAACUACACCAUUUAUGUUAUAGAAUGUCAUUUUUAGGCCUUACAAAGCCUAUAUAAACCAUAUACAACUUUCAGCAACGGAUCUCUUGGUUCUC
This 332-nucleotide unclassified non-coding RNA is filed under the name plant metagenome. RNAcentral's name for it is "partial contains small subunit ribosomal RNA, internal transcribed spacer 1, and 5.8S ribosomal RNA". The record is from RNAcentral.